AAGUAAGAAGUAAAUUUUACACUUAGUUUCGACCUAAUUUUUGGUUAAAUUAAUUUUAACCCUUACUUA
This 69-nucleotide transfer RNA is filed under the name Exema canadensis. RNAcentral's name for it is "tRNA-Arg". Lineage: Eukaryota; Metazoa; Arthropoda; Insecta; Coleoptera; Chrysomelidae. The record is from RNAcentral.